This 356-nucleotide ribosomal RNA is filed under the name Phylladiorhynchus integrus. RNAcentral describes it as "partial large subunit ribosomal RNA". It matches the Rfam family "Eukaryotic large subunit ribosomal RNA", at positions 817 to 1139 of the family's 3401-position model. Lineage: Eukaryota; Metazoa; Arthropoda; Malacostraca; Decapoda; Galatheidae. The record is from RNAcentral.
CGAAAGAUGGUGAACUAUGCCUGGCCAGGAUGAAGCCAGAGGAAACUCUGGUGGAGGUCCGAAGCAAUUCUGACGUGCAAAUCGAUUGUCAGAGCUGGGUAUAGGGGCGAAAGACUAAUCGAACCAUCUAGUAGCUGGUUCCCUCCGAAGUUUCCCUCAGGAUAGCUGGUACUCAAAGAGGAGUUUCAUCCGGUAAAGCGAAUGAUUAGAGGUCUUGGGGACGAAACGUCCUCAACCUAUUCUCAAACUUUAAAUGGGUGAGAUUGCCAAGCUUGCUUUAAAGUAGGUUGUUGUAUAACAAACCUAUAAGUGAAGCAUGGGCAACAAAUCUCAGAGUACCAAGUGGGCCAACUUUU